Molecule: ribosomal RNA, 468 nt
Filed under: uncultured bacterium
Lineage: Bacteria
Description: partial 16S ribosomal RNA
Rfam family: Bacterial small subunit ribosomal RNA
Source: RNAcentral
GACGAACGCUGGCGGCGUGCUUAACACAUGCAAGUCGAACGGAAAGGCCCUGCUUUUGUGGGGUGCUCGAGUUGCGAACGGGUGAGUAACACGUGAGUAACCUGCCCUUGACUUUGGGAUAACUUCAGGAAACUGGGGCUAAUACCGGAUAGGAGCUCCUGCUGCAUGGUGGGGGUUGGAAAGUUUCGGCGGUUGGGGAUGGACUCGCGGCUUAUCAGCUUGUUGGUGGGGUAGUGGCUUACCAAGGCUUUGACGGGUAGCCGGCCUGAGAGGGUGACCGGCCACAUUGGGACUGAGAUACGGCCAAGACUCCUACGGGAGGAAGCAGUGGGGAAUAUUGCAAAAUGGGCGGAAGCCGGAUGCAGCAACGCCGCGUGCGGGAUGACGGCCUUCGGGUUGUAAACCGCUUUCGCCUGUGACGAAGCGUGAGUGACGGUAAUGGGUAAAGAAGCACCGGCUAACUACGUG